AUUGAACGCUGGCGGCAUGCUUUACACAUGCAAGUCGAACGGCAGCGCGGGCUUCGGCCUGGCGGCGAGUGGCGAACGGGUGAGUAAUACAUCGGAACGUGCCCAGUAGUGGGGGAUAGCUCGGCGAAAGCCUGAUUAAUACCGCAUACGACCUGAGGGUGAAAGCGGGGGAUCUUCGGACCUCGCGCUAUUGGAGCGGCCGAUGGCAGAUUAGCUAGUUGGUGGGGUAAAGGCCUACCAAGGCGACGAUCUGUAGCUGGUCUGAGAGGACGACCAGCCACGCUGGGACUGAGACACGGCCCAGACUCCUACGGGAGGCAGCAGUGGGGAAUUUUGGACAAUGGGCGAAAGCCUGAUCCAGCAAUGCCGCGUGUGUGAUGAAGGCCUUCGGGUUGUAAAGCACUUUUGGCGGGAACGAAAAGGACUGUGCCAAUACCACGGUUCGAUGACGGUACCCGCAGAAUAAGCACCGGCUAACUACGUG
This 484-nucleotide ribosomal RNA is filed under the name uncultured bacterium. RNAcentral's name for it is "partial 16S ribosomal RNA". It matches the Rfam family "Bacterial small subunit ribosomal RNA", at positions 29 to 507 of the family's 1533-position model. The record is from RNAcentral.